GGUUAAGCGACUAAGCGUACACGGUGGAUGCCCUGGCAGUCAGAGGCGAUGAAGGACGUGCUAAUCUGCGAUAAGCGCCGGUAAGGUGAUAUGAACCGUUAUAACCGGCGAUUUCCGAAUGGGGAAACCCAGUGUGACUCGUCACACUAUCAUUAACUGAAUCCAUAGGUUAAUGAGGCGAACCGGGGGAACUGAAACAUCUAAGUACCCCGAGGAAAAGAAAUCAACCGAGAUUCCCCCAGUAGCGGCGAGCGAACGGGGAGGAGCCCAGAGCCUGAAUCAGCAUGUGUGUUAGUGGAAGCGUCUGGAAAGGCGCGCGAUACAGGGUGACAGCCCCGUACACAAAAGCGCAUGUGCUGUGAGCUCGAUGAGUAGGGCGGGACACGUGGUAUCCUGUCUGAAUAUGGGGGGACCAUCCUCCAAGGCUAAAUACUCCUGACUGACCGAUAGUGAACCAGUACCGUGAGGGAAAGGCGAAAAGAACCCCGGCGAGGGGAGUGAAAAAGAACCUGAAACCGUGUACGUACAAGCAGUGGGAGCCCCACCACUAAGCCAGUGGUGAACUCCACAUACGCAUCCUUUGCUGAGGAUACGGUUAACGGAGCGAAAGCGACGUUCAACCGCAAAAGAAGCAGAGGGGGCUUAGUGGUGGGGUGACUGCGUACCUUUUGUAUAAUGGGUCAGCGACUUAUAUUCUGUAGCAAGGUUAACCGAAUAGGGGAGCCGUAGGGAAACCGAGUCUUAAC
RNAcentral lists this ribosomal RNA (746 nucleotides) under Salmonella enterica subsp. enterica serovar Ohio. RNAcentral describes it as "partial 23S ribosomal RNA". It matches the Rfam family "Bacterial large subunit ribosomal RNA", at positions 1 to 688 of the family's 2925-position model. Lineage: Bacteria; Pseudomonadati; Pseudomonadota; Gammaproteobacteria; Enterobacterales; Enterobacteriaceae. The record is from RNAcentral.